GAUGAACGCUGGCGGCGUGCCUAAUACAUGCAAGUCGAGCGAACAGACGAGGAGCUUGCUCCUCUGACGUUAGCGGCGGACGGGUGAGUAACACGUGGAUAACCUACCUAUAAGACUGGGAUAACUUCGGGAAACCGGAGCUAAUACCGGAUAAUAUAUUGAACCGCAUGGUUCAAUAGUGAAAGACGGUUUUGCUGUCACUUAUAGAUGGAUCCGCGCCGCAUUAGCUAGUUGGUAAGGUAACGGCUUACCAAGGCAACGAUGCGUAGCCGACCUGAGAGGGUGAUCGGCCACACUGGAACUGAGACGCGGUCCAGACUCCUACGGGAGGCAGCAGUAGGGAAUCUUCCGCAAUGGGCGGAAGCCUGACGGAGCAGCGCCGCGUGAGUGAUGAAGGUCUUCGGAUCGUAAAACUCUGUUAUUAGGGAAGAACAAAUGUGUAAGUAACUAUGCACGUCUUGACGGUACCUAAUCAGAAAGCCACGGCUAACUACGUG
Molecule: ribosomal RNA, 497 nt
Filed under: uncultured bacterium
Lineage: Bacteria
Description: partial 16S ribosomal RNA
Rfam family: Bacterial small subunit ribosomal RNA
Source: RNAcentral